GGUUAGACGAAGAAUCUAAAUAGAGUAAACUAUUAUUUUAAUUAACAGUAAAUGAUUUUGAGUAUAUUAUUUUCUUUUUUUAGGUGAAAUUUAUAUAAAGAAGUAAAUUAUCUUUAAUUAUUUGAAGGAAUAUAAAAAAUAGAGAUCAAAAACCAGGAUUAGAUACCCUGUUAUUCUCUACAAUAGGUAAUAGGGUAGUAAAAGUUGUUCUUCAAACCCAAAGGUUUUGGCGGCAUUCUAACCAAACAGAGGAGCUUGUCUUGUAAUCGAUAACCCUCGUUUUAUCUUACCUUCAUUUGUUUAACUUGUAUACCUCCGUUGUCAGAUUACUCCAAAAGGAUGUUUUCUAUAAAAUUAAUCUUUUUACUUCAGGUCAAGGUGCAGUUUAUGUGAAGGAAAUGGUGAGCUACAGUUUUUUAAAAAAAAUACGGAUCUUAAAUUAUAAUUUGGGUGAAGGUGGAUUUGUUAGUAAGUUUAUUUUAGGAAAAUAAACUGAACAAGGCAAUAGAAUGUGUACAUAUCGCCCGUCACUCUCCUUCUAAGAGGAGA
Molecule: ribosomal RNA, 549 nt
Filed under: Daphnia magna
Lineage: Eukaryota; Metazoa; Arthropoda; Branchiopoda; Diplostraca; Daphniidae
Description: partial 12S ribosomal RNA
Rfam family: Microsporidia small subunit ribosomal RNA (bases 193-549)
Source: RNAcentral